Spea bombifrons (plains spadefoot toad) is the source of this 240-nucleotide long non-coding RNA. RefSeq lists it as uncharacterized. The transcript is spliced from 3 exons. The record is from RefSeq and is a predicted model, not a curated record. Lineage: Eukaryota; Metazoa; Chordata; Amphibia; Anura; Pelobatidae.
CCGUCGGAUCAUGCGCUGUCUUUCCGUGUGCUUCCUGAUCCUCUGCGUGAGAGUCGGGUCACCGCGAGAAGGAAGCCCCGGGGAGAAUGGCGCGGUUGAGCCGUCCGACUUCGUAGAAGAUAAGACCGUUUCUGCCCCCACCGUGGGUCCAGAUGAGGGCGAGGUGGUGGCAGAAGAGGAGGUUCUGGAGGGCAAGGAAAACCUGACAUCGCUCGAGCCUCCCUCCACCGCAGGUAAAGC